GAUGAACGCUGGCGGCGUGCCUAAUACAUGCAAGUAGAACGCUGAAGGAAGGAGCUUGCUCUUUCCGGAUGAGUUGCGAACGGGUGAGUAACGCGUAGGUAACCUGCCUGGUAGCGGGGGAUAACUAUUGGAAACGAUAGCUAAUACCGCAUAACAGUAGAUGUUGCAUGAUAUCUACUUAAAAGGUGCAAUUGCACCACUACCAGAUGGACCUGCGUUGUAUUAGCUAGUUGGUGAGGUAACGGCUCACCAAGGCGACGAUACAUAGCCGACCUGAGAGGGUGAUCGGCCACACUGGGACUGAGACACGGCCCAGACCCCUACGGGAGGCAGCAGUAGGGAAUCUUCGGCAAUGGACGGAAGUCUGACCGAGCAACGCCGCGUGAGUGAGGAAGGUUUUCGGAUCGUAAAGCUCGGUUGUAAGAGAAGAACGAGUGUGAGAGUGGAAAGUUCACACUGUGACGGUAGCUUACCAGAAAGGGACGGCUAACUACGUG
RNAcentral lists this ribosomal RNA (497 nucleotides) under uncultured bacterium. RNAcentral's name for it is "partial 16S ribosomal RNA". It matches the Rfam family "Bacterial small subunit ribosomal RNA", at positions 28 to 507 of the family's 1533-position model. The record is from RNAcentral.